UCCUCUUGGUCUCUUCCAUACCCAUUUCCCUUCUCUGGCUCAACAUGUCCAAAAUCAUGGUGUAUCUUCACCAGGAUCCUCACAUAACAGGUUUGGCUCACACUUACCUUCUCUUCUCUCUCCCUGAACUUUUGACCAACUCUUUUGUUCACCCAAUCCGCAUUUACCUUCGCGCACAAGGCAUCACUCUCCCCCUCACUCUAGCAUCCCUCGCUGGCAGCAUCCUCCAUUUUCCUAUUAACCUCUUUCUCGUCUCUCAUCUCCAGCUAGGCUUAGCCGGCGUCGCUGCAGCAAGCGCAGCCUCCAACUGCUUCGUCCUCCUUUCCCUCGUGUCCUACAUCUGGGCAUCCGGCUUGUACAAGCCCACGUGGAUAAGGCCUAGCCUAGACUCUCUCACCGGCUGGAAGCCGCUCCUUCGGUUGGCUGCCCCAAGCUGCGUGUCUGUAU
Molecule: long non-coding RNA, 447 nt
Filed under: Carica papaya (papaya)
Lineage: Eukaryota; Viridiplantae; Streptophyta; Magnoliopsida; Brassicales; Caricaceae
Description: long non-coding RNA (CPAP_LNC007479)
Source: RNAcentral